GGGCUUGUAGUGUAGUGGUAUCGCGCAUCCUUAGCAUGGAUGAGGUCCUGGGUUCAAUUCCCAGCAAGUCCA
RNAcentral lists this transfer RNA (72 nucleotides) under Pseudovirgaria hyperparasitica. It matches the Rfam family "tRNA". Rfam says of the family: Transfer RNA (tRNA) molecules are approximately 80 nucleotides in length. Their secondary structure includes four short double-helical elements and three loops (D, anti-codon, and T loops). The record is from Rfam by way of RNAcentral. Lineage: Eukaryota; Fungi; Ascomycota; Dothideomycetes; Acrospermales; Acrospermaceae.